Molecule: long non-coding RNA, 461 nt
Filed under: Struthio camelus australis
Lineage: Eukaryota; Metazoa; Chordata; Aves; Struthioniformes; Struthionidae
Description: lncRNA (ENSSCUG00000006745.1)
Source: RNAcentral
AAGUUCACAGCACUGUCUUUCUGUCACUGUCUCCUGCUAUUCUUCAGAAAUUUCCUGACUUCAAAGAGAGCAGAGCUACAGCAGCACAGUCUUCCUUUUACGGUGUCUGAAUUCGGACCCAGGAUUCUGUACGAUGCUCUGAGCCUCCCCAGUGCAUCCAGUGGCCACCAUAGACGCCCCAAACCAUCUUCCAGAGGCUGCAGCAACAACAUGAGACAUCUGCACACCCAACUCCAGGGCUGCAAGUCUGAACAUGACCUGCUGAUCAUCCCCAGUCCCUCAUCAUGCUGCUGGGGUGCUGGAUCUCAGGAUUCCUCCUGGACCCCAAAGCUGGGCGAUGGCUAGCGAAUACCAACAUGCUGCAUAAUCCCGAGUGCUUCACCGAUGAGUCACCACCCUGUAGCGCAACAGCCUCUUCAAGCCUGAGCCGUCUCCGCCACAGUCUUCCAAAGUAGCUCAGU